AGGGAUAUAGCUCAGUGGUAGAGAGUGUGCUUAACGUGCACAAGGUUCUGGGUUCAAUCCCUGGUACCUCCA
RNAcentral lists this transfer RNA (72 nucleotides) under Camelus bactrianus (Bactrian camel). It matches the Rfam family "tRNA". From Rfam's summary of the family: Transfer RNA (tRNA) molecules are approximately 80 nucleotides in length. Lineage: Eukaryota; Metazoa; Chordata; Mammalia; Artiodactyla; Camelidae. RNAcentral also lists the same sequence under 2 other names. The record is from Rfam by way of RNAcentral.